RNAcentral lists this transfer RNA (71 nucleotides) under Phrynosoma platyrhinos (Desert horned lizard). RNAcentral describes it as "tRNA-OTHER". It matches the Rfam family "tRNA". Rfam says of the family: Transfer RNA (tRNA) molecules are approximately 80 nucleotides in length. Lineage: Eukaryota; Metazoa; Chordata; Lepidosauria; Squamata; Phrynosomatidae. The record is from RNAcentral.
GCCAGCAUGGUGUAGUGGUUUGAGCACUGGACUAUUACUCUGGAGGCCAGGGUUCGAAUCCCUGCUUGGCC